UCACCACUCAAGCCUGGCUUGGUGUUGGGUGCCGCCCCGCCCCCUGCGGCGCGGGCGCUCCCUAAAACUAUCGGCGGUGCAGCACCGGCUUCGAGCGUAGCAGACCUUCGCUUUCUGGGGCCCGGUGCGGCAGCGGCCGCGACGACACAACCUCUA
Molecule: unclassified non-coding RNA, 156 nt
Filed under: Rhytidhysteron rufulum
Lineage: Eukaryota; Fungi; Ascomycota; Dothideomycetes; Hysteriales; Hysteriaceae
Also listed under: 1 other name
Description: sequence contains ITS2
Source: RNAcentral